RNAcentral lists this ribosomal RNA (1012 nucleotides) under uncultured archaeon. RNAcentral describes it as "bacterial SSU rRNA". It matches the Rfam family "Archaeal small subunit ribosomal RNA", at positions 37 to 1054 of the family's 1478-position model. The record is from RNAcentral.
GGUUCGACUAAGCCAUGCGAGUCGAAUGUAGCAAUACAUGGCGUACUGCUCAGUAACACGUGGACAACCUACCCUCCGGACGGGUAUAAACCCGGGAAACUGGGUAUAAUCCCCGAUAGAUCUCGGUCGCUGGAAUGCUCCGAGAUCGAAAGCUCCGGCGCCAGAGGAUGGGUCUGCGGCCUAUCAGGUAGUAGUGGGUGUAGCGUACCUACUAGCCUACGACGGGUACGGGUUGUGAGAGCAAGAGCCCGGAGAUGGAUUCUGAGACACGAAUCCAGGCCCUACGGGGUGCAGCAGGCGCGAAAACUUUACAAUGCCGGCAACGGCGAUAAGGGGACCUCGAGUGCCAGGUUACAAAUCUGGCUGUCGCGAUGCCUAAAAAGCAUUGCAUAGCAAGGGCCGGGCAAGACCGGUGCCAGCCGCCGCGGUAACACCGGCGGCUCGAGUGGUAACCGUUAUUAUUGGGUCUAAAGGGUCUGUAGCCGGCCGGAUAAGUCUCUUGAGAAAUCCAGCAGCUCAACUGUUGGGCUUUCAGGAGAUACUGUUCGGCUCGAGGCCGGGAGAGGUGAGAGGUACUUCAGGGGUAGGGGUGAAAUCUUGUAAUCCUUGAAGGACCACCAGUGGCGAAGGCGUCUCACCAGAACGGACCUGACGGCAAGGGACGAAAGCUAGGGGCACGAACCGGAUUAGAUACCCGGGUAGUCCUAGCCGUAAACGAUACUCGCUAGGUGUCGGCCACGGUGCGACCGUUGUCGGUGCCGUAGGGAAGCCGUGAAGCGAGCCACCUGGGAAGUACGGCCGCAAGGCUGAAACUUAAAGGAAUUGGCGGGGGAGCACCACAACGGGUGGAGCUUGCGGUUUAAUUGGAUUCAACGCCGGAAAUCUUACCGGGACCGACAGCAAUAUGAAGGCCAGGCUGAAGACUUUGUCGGAUUAGCUGAGAGGUGGUGCAUGGCCGUCGUCAGUUCGUACUGUGAAGCAUCCUGUUAAGUCAGGCAACGAGCGAGACCCA